Mya arenaria is the source of this 74-nucleotide small nucleolar RNA. RefSeq annotates it as small nucleolar RNA SNORD79. The transcript has a single exon. NCBI's taxonomy places the organism in Eukaryota, Metazoa, Mollusca, Bivalvia, Myida, Myidae. The record is from RefSeq and is a predicted model, not a curated record.
GGUCAGUUGUGAUGAUUUCUACAAUGGGAAUCUCUCUGAAAAUAAUCAUGGAGAGUAUUGUUUCUGAACUGGCC